UCUUCUUCCUCCUUCCCGUGUCGCAGUCGCAGAAACCCCAACUUCAGCGCAAAGGGUUCCCGGAGCCCCUCUGACUUGUUCGUGCUGACAGAACGCCGCCUCUAACUUACACCGAGCGCGCGGGUCGCCGGAGCGGCACGUACGGCGCCGCCGCACUCCGGCCGUUCCUGCUUCUAAAUGCAUUCGUGAAAUCUCCGGCGGCAUGGUCCACCACGUUAUGGUAGACCGUAGACGCAGUUGGCAGUUGCUGGCAAAGUGCAGAGAAUUUCAGGCAGGGAGCUUCAGGACCGUCACAAAUUCA
This 301-nucleotide long non-coding RNA is filed under the name Setaria italica (foxtail millet). RNAcentral's name for it is "long non-coding RNA (SITA_LNC006414)". Lineage: Eukaryota; Viridiplantae; Streptophyta; Magnoliopsida; Poales; Poaceae. The record is from RNAcentral.